AACGAACGCUGGCGGCAGGCUUAACACAUGCAAGUCGAACGCCCCGCCAGGGGAGUGGCAGACGGGUGAGUAACGCGUGGGAACAUACCCUUUCCUGCGGAAUAGCUCCGGGAAACUGGAAUUAAUACCGCAUACGCCCUACGGGGGAAAGAUUUAUCGGGGAAGGAUUGGCCCGCGUUGGAUUAGCUAGUUGGUGGGGUAAAGGCCUACCAAGGCGACGAUCCAUAGCUGGUCUGAGAGGAUGAUCAGCCACAUUGGGACUGAGACACGGCCCAAACUCCUACGGGAGGCAGCAGUGGGGAAUAUUGGACAAUGGGCGCAAGCCUGAUCCAGCCAUGCCGCGUGAGUGAUGAAGGCCUUAGGGCUGUAAAGCUCUUUCACCGAUGAAGAUAAUGACGGUAGUCGGAGAAGAAGCCCCGGCUAACUUCGUG
RNAcentral lists this ribosomal RNA (431 nucleotides) under uncultured bacterium. RNAcentral's name for it is "partial 16S ribosomal RNA". It matches the Rfam family "Bacterial small subunit ribosomal RNA", at positions 29 to 507 of the family's 1533-position model. The record is from RNAcentral.